GGGGGCCGGGGGCCGGAUCCUGCCCCCGGGGGCUCCCGCCCUGCGCAGCUCGGCGGCAGGCUCCGUGCCCCGGCUCGGCUCGGCACGGCUCGGCUCCGGGGGCAGGAGGAGGGAGAAGCUGCCCAGGGUGGCCGCGGAGCGAGCAGCUGGCUUCCCCGUGCGGCAGCCACCUGUCGUCUCGGGUUUGUCGUCUGAACUGAAAUUAAAGUGAUUGAAAAAUAAAUAAAUGCAAAUAAAAUGUACGUAUAAAUAAAGAAAAGUGGGAUCGCUUUGCAGAGCGAGGAUAACUCCGGUUCCCCCCCGCCGGAGCUGCGCUGUGCACUCUCCGCCUUUCCCAGGGCUGCCGCUUUGCUCGAGAGCAGCAGAAGGAAUCACACCGACAUCAAGACGAUGGGAGACUUCCAUAAAAAUAUGAUCGCACGCCAGCACAGAUCAGCCUGCUGGGAUCCCAGAUGAAAUCUAACAAAAAAGAGAGAGGCAAGGUGGGACGUGACACCUGCACUGCUCCCCAUGUGCCCCUGGCAGCCAGAAUCCAGCCCCGGGGAGGAAAGGCACCAUGUGGUGGGUGUUAGGAGGGUACCUGCUGCCUGUAACAUCCCCACCACGCGUGGCUGGGAGCCCCAGCCUGAUGCUGACUGUCUCCCUGCUGGUCCUCCGCAGCUGGGGCACCACACAAAGGUCUCCUCCUGCCUGAAGCCCCAGCAAGAGACUGGGACCCUGUGCAGUGCUCCAAAAUGGUCCGAGCUCCAGGGCUCAAUGCCAGGAAG
Oxyura jamaicensis (ruddy duck) is the source of this 767-nucleotide long non-coding RNA. RefSeq lists it as uncharacterized. Lineage: Eukaryota; Metazoa; Chordata; Aves; Anseriformes; Anatidae. The transcript has 3 exons. The record is from RefSeq and is a predicted model, not a curated record.